This 73-nucleotide transfer RNA is filed under the name bacterium. RNAcentral's name for it is "tRNA-Lys". It matches the Rfam family "tRNA". Rfam says of the family: Transfer RNA (tRNA) molecules are approximately 80 nucleotides in length. Their secondary structure includes four short double-helical elements and three loops (D, anti-codon, and T loops). The record is from RNAcentral.
GCGCCCAUAGCUCAAUCGGUAGAGCAGCGGCCUUUUAAGCCGAUGGUUGGGGGUUCGAUUCCCUCUGGGCGCA